CCCUUAGAUGUUCGGGGCCGCACGCGCGCUACACUGAAGGUAGCAGAGGGUGUGAUCGCUCCCGCCCCGAAGCGGGGCGGGUAAACCGUUGAACUACCUUCGUGGCUUGGGACCGGGGCUUGGAACUGUUGCCCGCGAACGAGGAAUUCCCAGUAAGCGCGAGUCAUAAGCUGGCGUUGAUUACGUCCCUGCCCUUUGUACACACCGCCCGUCGCUACUACCGAUUGAACGUUUUAGUGAGGUAUUUGGACUGGACCUUCGGAGGUUCGCGCCUCCGUUGCUGUUCGGGAAGACUCCCAAACUUGAGCGUUUAGAGGAAGUAAAANUCGUAACA
Molecule: ribosomal RNA, 334 nt
Filed under: uncultured eukaryote
Lineage: Eukaryota
Description: partial 18S ribosomal RNA
Rfam family: Eukaryotic small subunit ribosomal RNA
Source: RNAcentral